GAAACUUUAUUUUUUUCUGGUUCUGCAAAAGAGGAAACUUUACAAGUUAUAAUUAUACUGUACGUAGCUACUUUUUUUUGUUUUUACCUUUUUUCCAAAUACAAACCCAGCAAUUAAAUGCAAAUUGCGUUCGUGGAUAAUUAUUACUGGAUAAAUUGAUACUAAAUGAAAUGUGUUGCCUUCUAAUACUAUUUAGUGGCUAAUACAGGAGCGUGAAGGCGCGUGCCGUGCCGUUACGCUAACGAUAGUUUGAUCAAAGAGGAGGUUGUAAACAGUAACAGGCGUCCGUCAUCGUUAAGAUUCCGUCACUUUCACCGUCUGCCCCAAAGCAGGGCAACAGGAUUGGCUAGAAUUGGGAAAGCAGAGAGAAACAACACGUGACUGACUUGACCUCACUUCUUUUCAUUAUUUACUAUUUCUGCCACUUUGGUAUUGGCUGUGUUGUGUUACCCCAACAUUAACCCAUGUGGGCUGUGGCAAGUGUGUUUUGGUUCUCUAAUCUUUUUUUUUCUCUCACUAAUUACUUACUUGUUUCAUUACUUACCUCUGCAAGAAUUGUUUGUCCAACUCCAUCAUUUACUAAUUAGAGAAAAACAUUAGAAAGUUAUUCACAUAGUCGUUGUUGUAUUAAAAAAAGCUUUUAAACUAAACGAAUUUUGUUAAACAUUAUUAUUAUGCGUAAAGCCUUCAACUAAAAUCAGGUAAAAUCGUUGUAUUAAAACGGUUAAAAUCACUCACAACAUAAUUAAAAAAAAAAAAAAAAAUCUUCCCACACUCAAAUCAGAAAGCCUCCAAAUAUAGUUAGAAAUUAAAAUAUAAAAAACUCAACAGUUUUUU
RNAcentral lists this long non-coding RNA (837 nucleotides) under Capsella rubella. RNAcentral's name for it is "long non-coding RNA (CRUB_LNC001412)". Lineage: Eukaryota; Viridiplantae; Streptophyta; Magnoliopsida; Brassicales; Brassicaceae. The record is from RNAcentral.